Molecule: long non-coding RNA, 723 nt
Filed under: Brassica napus (rape)
Lineage: Eukaryota; Viridiplantae; Streptophyta; Magnoliopsida; Brassicales; Brassicaceae
Description: long non-coding RNA (BNAP_LNC013943)
Source: RNAcentral
UGAGGUCCGAGAUCCAGAUUAGAUAAAUCAAACAGAUUAUACCUUAGUUUGAAUUCAAGAACAAUUAAUAUUAAUAAACUCCUAAUUUCCCAAAUUAAGUAUUAUUUAUCAUACAUGAGAAUAUACCUGAAUCUAGCUACUUCACCCAACUGUUAACAACCUAAAAACAAAUCAAUCGAGCAAUAACUUGCUCACCAACCAAUUUACUUCUUUAAAACCCAUAAACCAUUCAAUCUAGAUUUAUUUCAACACCAUAAUCUAUUGUGUAAUCCUAGAGUCUCUGUGGAUUCGAUCCUUAAGUACUACAUCUGAACCUCUUUUUUGAGAGAGUAAUUCACUCCUUAGGGUAAUUUGAGUGAUAUCAGGUCACUACCACAUCCUCAUCUUCAUUCCAACAGAACCAGAUCUUCCCUAAAGGACUGUAUUUGUAAUUAGUAAUUGCUUUCCAUCCCGGGAGCGCAGAAUUCAUAAUGCCAGCAUGCUUCCCCUCUUGAACGCGAGUUUCAGUUAGACAUCCAAACACAUUUUCUCAAUUCUAACCCAAUCUUGCAGAACUUUGUGUUUGUGCGGCAGAUUAAAUCCUCGCAUAUUCCAUGAAAAGAAACUCGUCAUAUCUUCUGUGAGGAAGAAGAUUUAGAAUGGCCCUGCAUAUUCUGAAGCUUCAAGUCUCGUGUCGUGCGGAUUGGUUUCCGAUAAGAUUUACUACUUCCUUUACUUGUCUUG